CUCCACUGACCAGCUCUUGGAAUCGACUCCAAAGUGCAAAAUCCGUGAGUUAUCCCCGUCAAGCAGCCAUAUACUGUUGCUCCCAUCAGUCUCUACGGCUUUGCAAUUUUAGGGUUCUUGCAUCUUAACAUUGAGGGCGCCGCUCUUUCUUCGCGGCUCGCUUAUACGCGGAUGCCACAACGAUUUCUCGCGGCUUCCAUGGCACGGGUCAGCGAUUCGUUGUUCGCUGCCUUGUUCGACUGAUGGACGCCACAGCGCUUUCUUCUCUCUCUUUUUUUUCUCUCGCGCAUUUAGCACUGGGGCACUGCGAAGAUUCUAUCGCGUGUGCUUUGCCCGUUCAGCUAAUGCUACAUUGCUAAUCUUCUUUCGCAAUGUCCUGGGAUUUCUUUCAUCUCUUCUUCUCUGGACAAAGAUCUCAUCUCAUCAUGUAGGAGAGAUUCUUCAUUCUUCUCGCUUUUUCGUGCAUCUUUUCUGCGAUUAAUUUCCAGUGCGUGUCGCUCAUUCACACAAUGCACAGAUUAAAUCUUGUCGAUCUCUCCUGUGGCUUUCUGAGAGAUUCACGCGAUGAAUCUUCUCAUGCAGUUGGCAGGAGAACAAAAAACCAUCUUUCCUUCGAUUUCGAUGACACACCAAGCACCAUACUUGCAUUCGAACGGGUAUGAUUAAUAAAAAACGCCGUUUAAAACGCGUGUAUAAUACGGCGUUUAAACACCAAGAAUAUUUUUAAAAACCCUAAAGAAUAUGCUUUCUUUUACUUAGGAUUAGGGCUCAUGUAAAAUCAGGGUUCGAAAAAAACCGUAAAAUCAGGGUUCGAAUAAAACUGAAAACCAUUAUACCCGUUCGAAAAAAAGCUAAACGGGUAUUAAACGUUCGAUACCCGUUCGAAUCCGGUUGCGUUCGAAUGUUCGGAUGCAAGUAUGCCAAGGAUCAUCGUUUAGGACUAUUUGUUUGCAAAAAAAGUAUAGCGAUGGUACAUCUGUACAGUGCGUUUCUCUAGAGAAAACUCGCGCAAAAACCCCCAGAGAGAAUGAGAAAAGAGACCUUUUUCUUCUCACUGUCACUUGAUCCGCUUGAGCUUCUUUAGUACGUCCUUGACGUUGGGGCCUUUGUCCCACGAAGCAAACUGGCCCGCGACCUUCUUUAUCAGCACUCCAGCGUUAAAAAUCGCGGUGGAGUCUCUCAGAUUACUCGGCUGUGGCAAUCCAAACACCACCCGGUUCACGUCUUCGUCGACUUGCAGGCUGUAGACUUCGCUAAAAAUCUGCAAAGCAAGAACAACUUGUAAGCUCUUACUGCUACCAGAAACGAGAGUCUAGCGAGCUUACUUCACACAAUCUCUGGUCUGCUUGUAUGUGAGGCUCACGAGCCCGCGAAACAACGUUUAUGACGAGGAUUCCUUCGGGUUCCAGAGCAGCUUUCGCACUGCGGAGGAAUGUUUCGAGAAGGAAUUCCUCUGGAGGGCAGCUUAGCCCAUUACUGCAACGGAGUUUUCUGAUCACUUCGACAAAGAUAAACAGAAAAGACAGAACCGCACCUUGAAAUCCAUUCGUUGGCGUUAGUAAAGCCUCCGACUGGAUGAGGUUGGGAUUACGUUUAAAGAACAGGCGUCAAAAGAAGGCCUUUUUUUUGUCGGAUGAUACAACAUCCUCUACAAGCAUGGUACCCGUUAAUGGAGAAUUGAUCUGAACAAAGGAGAGAAAAGUCAAUGGUUUCUGUUAGUCGAUGCACGGCAUUGUUACCUCCUCCAGCAGAGUCCCUUUACAAACUCCAUCGUGUGGCAGCAGGAAACUGUAGAUGUUCGCAACCAAGAGUUAGAAACCUUGACAAGGAAAAGCAGGAAAGAGAAGUGAGGAACUUACGGUACUCCUGAGUCACAAUCUAAUGGUACAAGCUCUCUCACUAGUGGGGACAGGAGGUUCUGACCAUUUGGAAAGUGGGAAUAUGCAUAAGGUGAGUGGAAACGAAUACCUGAAGUUCAGUAGCGGUCUGACAGUCAGUUUCGAGGUAAAUCUGUCCGGAAAGAAGAAACACAGGUUAUUUCCGAAUGAAUCGAUGAAAGUUUUAUAGUCAGCAAGCCCUACCAUGAUAAGCCAAGCGGCCUUGGCACUUUCGACCACUUGCCAUUGUCCUUCCUCGGAUGAAUUGAGCAACUCGUGAUCCUUGGCCUGUCGCAAAAGUAUCAAGAACUUGGAGGCUUUCGAAAUGAAAUCGAACAUACCUUUGGCACCAAAAACACAGCGCACGCAUCAGGCAUGACUGCCUGUCCAAUCUUGGCGUCGAGAACUAUUGCUUUGAAUGUUCCUCCCAGAGUGAGAACAGAUCUCCGAGAGGGUUGGAGCUUUUCAAGGUCACGAAACUCUGGUCCUCUUCUUCUCAACGCAUUUUCCUUCUAUAUCGCUGCGAUAUUUUGCGCCUGGAAACAUUGGUGUUGGUCUUUUCAUAAGAGAAAAACUCAGAAAAAAACUCACAUGGAGAUUGGAAGAAAGAUCAUAAGAGAUCAAGGACAGAUCGCUCUUCGUCUCUUUCAUGGCAGCGAAUAACAGUGGCUUCAGCUUGGACGAAGCCUGAGCAAUCGGCACUUGGUAGACAGCUACUUGCCAACCAUGUCGAAACGUUGAUAAUAGCAAUCCUAUAAAACACAACGUGAUCUUUGAAAAACGAAACACACGGCUAAUUCUUCCACAUGCCGAUUACAUGACUUUCGGCUAAGGUGAUGCAAGCAUACUUUCCCAAAGGCCUUAACACUCUUUUGACCUGUCCAAACCUUUAUCAUAAACAACAUACUCUAAUUAUCUAUGGACCUGGAUGAGCUUUGAAGUUUUAUCCCCACAGCAACCUCUCCAUCAAAGUCCGGAAUUGAUUUUGGAAUCCAUUCACCAGCUGUGAGUUUAAUGCUUUAUUUAACUUUGAUCUAAUUAACAUGCUAAUCUCAUAUAUAGCCUUGAGCCUAAUUUCUUAUUGAAUAUUUUUCUUGACCAUAAACCUAGUGCAUAAAUGUAGAGCACAGGGAUGGAGCAUAUAAUGGACUGUUGUUUGUAGCAAAUUGUCUAGGUAAUGAGGACGAGUUAUUUCUCUAGUUCAUAAACAUAUCUCGUUUAUUAAAUAGCAAGAUUUAUUCAUUAGACGUGAACCAUCCACCCUCUUUUCCUUAAGGAAAAUCUGAAGGGCUUGGUUGAGCGAAUUUCUCAUUUGCCAGUAUAAAAUUCCAACAGUGGGAUCACAACCCACAAUCUCUACAACUCGCAUUCUAUCAUGCCUUCGCAGUUUAUUAUCUGCUUAGUCUUUGCUCUUGUAGCGCUUGCAGGGACAAGCAACGCUGUAAGCUAUUAGUUUGUUGCAAAUGCCCACACUAGAACUAUGACUCAAUCUGGUUUUGAUGCAGGCAUGCAACUUUGAGGAAGCUGUGACAAGAACUCGGAGGUUAUAAGCGGCACAACAUUGACUGCCAAUUGUUACAAGCCCAAUGGCCAGCUCCAAAGGAGCAGCAUCAAUCUUAACGAUUGCUUCAGCAACAAUGGAGGCACCCUCAACUGUGGCAGCAACUUUAGUGCCUCGUGCCAGAAUGUAGUAAUCAACCCGUGGUUCCAGCUCCAAGUGCUGCUUCCAUCAAUGCGCAGUGCUAUGGCAAUAGCCAGUAUCGUUAUACCUCCAAGAGCUUUUUGCACACUUUUCUUCCGUGUCACAAACAUGCUCAAUCUUGCUGUUCGCAAAGUAGCGAUUUACCACCUUGUUGUUCCUUCACCACCAUUCUAUCAACGAUGCCGAUCAUCAGAGCAUUAGCUCACAGCAGUGCCCUUGGAUCUUCUUCGAGAAAGAACGCACUAACAAGAGAACCAAGCAAAGUUCACGAAUCCUGGCACAGCCUUGGGCGCCUCUUCCACUGACCAGCUCUUGGAAUCGACUCCAAAGUGCACAAUCCGUGAGUUAUCCCUGUCAAGCAGCCAUAUACUGUUGCUCCCAUCAGUGCAUACACUGCACAUCACAUCAAACUCCUCAUCACGGCUCAAAACACUUCUCUCCCCGCCUCUCUACGACAACCAGCCCCUCGUGAUCUUCCGCCUGCAACUCAUUACUAACCACGAACAGCCGAUCCCGAUCCAGCUGAAGAAAGAACCACCUCCAUUCGAACUGCAACUCGUCGGAAUCAAGCUUGAGAAUGCGCCAAGAAUCAUCCCACAAGUUGUAUCUCACGAAGGCAUCCGUGCAAAGCAUCACCACCUCCCCGUGAUCCAGUAUCGGAUAGAAACCAUCCCCGUUGUCCAUGUCCCGUGUGUCUGGGUAGUGUUUGUUCUCGCGCAAGGACCACUCGCCCGAGACCGAGUCGUAGAUGUAGAAGCCAAGCGAUGACCCGAAGCUAGCGACGCAAAACUCUCGCGUCGAUCGAUCCCUCUCGCGGCGGUACACCGUCAAGCGCAUGUCAGGGCCGGUCUCUGGCGGCAAAGGAACUCUCACCGGGGAGGAGUUGAGAUCGCUGUAGCGCCACACGAAGAUGGAGGAUGGCGCCCACCAUUUCACAAGGCACAGCAAGCCCGCGUCGCUGCUGGCGAUGGUCAUGCCCUUGGGGAGCUUCUGGAAGUGGCGCCACUCGCUGCGAGGGGAGUUGUCGAGCGGCUUGACGAGGAGGGAUCCAGAAAGACGAAAGAAGAGGUGAGGGAUGCAGCGGUGGGAGAGAGCGUAGCCUUUGCGGAAGAUGGGAUCGUCAAUUGCUCGUCGCCAUUCGCGGCACACGCACCUGGCCUGGCACAGAUCGAUCGCGGACAGCCUGAGGAAGACGAGCUCCAGCUCUGCCACGACUUCGCCGCUGGCGAUCGCUCCUCCUUGCCGCAUUGUGUGAGUGCCCUAGAGCGUGCCCUCUCGAUUUUAGGGCUUUACAAUUUUAGGGUUCUUGCAUCUUUAACAUUGAGGGCGCCGCUCUUUCUUCGCGGCUAGCUUAUACGCGGAUGCCACAACGAUUUCUCGCGGCUUCCAUGGCACGGGUCAGUGAUUCGUUGUUCGCUGCCUUGUUCGACUGAUGGACGCCACAUCGCCUUCUUCUCUCUCUCUUUUUUUUCUCGCGCAUUUAGUACUGGGGCACUGCGAAGAUUCUAUCGCGUGUGCUUUGCCCGUUCAGCUAAUGCUACAUUGCUCAUCUCCUUUCGCAAUGUCCUGGGAUUUCUUUCAUCUCUUCUCUGGACAAAGAUCUCAUCUCAUCAUGUAGGAGAGAUUCUUCAUUCUUCUCGCUUUUUCGUACAUCUUUUCUGGGGCUACACGCGAUUUAAUUUCCAGUGCGUGUCGAAUGCACAGAUUAAAUCUUGUCGAUCUCUCCUGUGGCUUUGUGAGAGAUUCACGCGAUGAAUCUUCUCAUGCAGUUGGCAGGAGAACAAAAAACCAUCUUU
This 5375-nucleotide long non-coding RNA is filed under the name Selaginella moellendorffii. RNAcentral describes it as "long non-coding RNA (SMOE_LNC001233)". Lineage: Eukaryota; Viridiplantae; Streptophyta; Lycopodiopsida; Selaginellales; Selaginellaceae. The record is from RNAcentral.